Molecule: ribosomal RNA, 467 nt
Filed under: uncultured bacterium
Lineage: Bacteria
Description: partial 16S ribosomal RNA
Rfam family: Bacterial small subunit ribosomal RNA
Source: RNAcentral
ACGAACGCUGGCGGCCUGCUUAACACAUGCAAGUCGAACGGAAAGGCCCUGCUUUUGUGGGGUGCUCGAGUGGCGAACGGGUGAGUAACACGUGAGUAACCUGCCCUUGACUUUGGGAUAACUUCAGGAAACUGGGGCUAAUACCGGAUAGGAGCUCCUGCUGCAUGGUGGGGGUUGGAAAGUUUCGGCGGUUGGGGAUGGACUCGCGGCUUAUCAGCUUGUUGGUGGGGUAGUGGCUUACCAAGGCUUUGACGGGUAGCCGGCCUGAGAGGGUGACCGGCCACAUUGGGACUGAGAUACGGCCCAGACUCCUACGGGAGGCAGCAGUGGGGAAUAUUGCACAAUGGGCGGAAGCCUGAUGCAGCAACGCCGCGUGCGGGAUGACGGCCUUCGGGUUGUAAACCGCUUUCGCCUGUGACGAAGCGUGAGUGACGGUAAUGGGUAAAGAAGCACCGGCUAACUACGUG